UAAUACUGCAGUCGAGCGAANGACGAGGAGCUUGCUCCUCUGACGUUAGCGGCGGACGGGUGAGUAACACGUGGAUAACCUACCUAUAAGACUGGGAUAACUUCGGGAAACCGGAGCUAAUACCGGAUAAUAUAUUGAACCGCAUGGUUCAAUAGUGAAAGACGGUUUUGCUGUCACUUAUAGAUGGAUCCGCGCCGCAUUAGCUAGUUGGUAAGGUAACGGCUUACCAAGGCAACGAUGCGUAGCCGACCUGAGAGGGUGAUCGGCCACACUGGAACUGAGACACGGUCCAGACUCCUACGGGAGGCAGCAGUAGGGAAUCUUCCGCAAUGGGCGAAAGCCUGACGGAGCAACGCCGCGUGAGUGAUGAAGGUCUUCGGAUCGUAAAACUCUGUUAUUAGGGAAGAACAAAUGUGUAAGUAACUAUGCACGUCUUGACGGUACCUAAUCAGAAAGCCACGGCUAACUACGUGCCAGCAGCCGCGGUAAUACGUAGGUGGCAAGCGUUAUCCGGAAUUAUUGGGCGUAAAGCGCGCGUAGGCGGUUUUUUAAGUCUGAUGUGAAAGCCCACGGCUCAACCGUGGAGGGUCAUUGGAAACUGGAAAACUUGAGUGCAGAAGAGGAAAGUGGAAUUCCAUGUGUAGCGGUGAAAUGCGCAGAGAUAUGGAGGAACACCAGUGGCGAAGGCGACUUUCUGGUCUGUAACUGACGCUGAUGUGCGAAAGCGUGGGGAUCAAACAGGAUUAGAUACCCUGGUAGUCCACGCCGUAAACGAUGAGUGCUAAGUGUUAGGGGGUUUCCGCCCCUUAGUGCUGCAGCUAACGCAUUAAGCACUCCGCCUGGGGAGUACGACCGCAAGGUUGAAACUCAAAGGAAUUGACGGGGACCCGCACAAGCGGUGGAGCAUGUGGUUUAAUUCGAAGCAACGCGAAGAACCUUACCAAAUCUUGACAUCCUCUGACCCCUCUAGAGAUAGAGUUUUCCCCUUCGGGGGACAGAGUGACAGGUGGUGCAUGGUUGUCGUCAGCUCGUGUCGUGAGAUGUUGGGUUAAGUCCCGCAACGAGCGCAACCCUUAAGCUUAGUUGCCAUCAUUAAGUUGGGCACUCUAAGUUGACUGCCGGUGACAAACCGGAGGAAGGUGGGGAUGACGUCAAAUCAUCAUGCCCCUUAUGAUUUGGGCUACACACGUGCUUCAAUGG
This 1200-nucleotide ribosomal RNA is filed under the name Staphylococcus epidermidis. RNAcentral describes it as "bacterial SSU rRNA". It matches the Rfam family "Bacterial small subunit ribosomal RNA", at positions 49 to 1233 of the family's 1533-position model. The record is from RNAcentral. Lineage: Bacteria; Bacillati; Bacillota; Bacilli; Caryophanales; Staphylococcaceae.